This 253-nucleotide ribosomal RNA is filed under the name uncultured bacterium. RNAcentral describes it as "partial 16S ribosomal RNA". It matches the Rfam family "Bacterial small subunit ribosomal RNA", at positions 524 to 776 of the family's 1533-position model. The record is from RNAcentral.
UACAGGGGGUGCAAGCGUUGCUCGGAAUCACUGGGCGUAAAGCGUCCGCAGGCGGACGUGUGUGUCGGGCGUGAAAGCCCAGGGCUCAACCCUGGAAUUGCGCUCGAAACUGCACGUCUGGAGUACGGGAGAGGAGGGCGGAAUUCCUGGUGUAGAGGUGAAAUUCGUAGAUAUCAGGAGGAACACCGGUGGCGAAAGCGGCCCUCUGGUCCGAUACUGACGCUCAUGGACGAGAGCGUGGGGAGCAAACAGG